UGCANGUCGAACGGCAGCACGGGGGCAACCCUGGUGGCGAGUGGCGAACGGGUGAGUAAUACAUCGGAACGUGUCCUGUAGUGGGGGAUAGCCCGGCGAAAGCCGGAUUAAUACCGCAUACGAUCUACGGAAGAAAGCGGGGGAUCCUUCGGGACCUCGCGCUAUAGGGGCGGCCGAUGGCAGAUUAGCUAGUUGGUGGGGUAAAGGCCUACCAAGGCGACGAUCUGUAGCUGGUCUGAGAGGACGACCAGCCACACUGGGACUGAGACACGGCCCAGACUCCUACGGGAGGCAACAGUGGGGAAUUUUGGACAAUGGGGGAAACCCUGAUCCAGCAAUGCCGCGUGUGUGAAGAAGGCCUUCGGGUUGUAAAGCACUUUUGUCCGGAAAGAAAACUUCGGCCCUAAUACGGCGGGAGGAUGACGGUACCGGAAGAAUAAGCACCGGCUAACUACGUGCCAGCAGCCGCGGUAAUACGUAGGGUGCGAGCGUUAAUCGGAAUUACUGGGCGUAAAGCGUGCGCAGGCGGUUCGUUAAGACAGAUGUGAAAUCCCCGGGCUUAACCUGGGAACUGCAUUUGUGACUGGCGAGCUAGAGUAUGGCAGAGGGGGGUAGAAUUCCACGUGUAGCAGUGAAAUGCGUAGAGAUGUGGAGGAAUACCGAUGGCGAAGGCAGCCCCCUGGGCCAAUACUGACGCUCAUGCACGAAAG
RNAcentral lists this ribosomal RNA (710 nucleotides) under uncultured beta proteobacterium. RNAcentral describes it as "bacterial SSU rRNA". It matches the Rfam family "Bacterial small subunit ribosomal RNA", at positions 56 to 759 of the family's 1533-position model. Lineage: Bacteria; Pseudomonadati; Pseudomonadota; Betaproteobacteria. The record is from RNAcentral.